RNAcentral lists this ribosomal RNA (606 nucleotides) under Vibrio sp. enrichment culture clone OGS107. Its description in RNAcentral is "bacterial SSU rRNA". It matches the Rfam family "Bacterial small subunit ribosomal RNA", at positions 87 to 689 of the family's 1533-position model. The record is from RNAcentral. Lineage: Bacteria; Pseudomonadati; Pseudomonadota; Gammaproteobacteria; Vibrionales; Vibrionaceae.
GGCGUCGAGCGGCGGACGGGUGAGUAAUGCCUAGGAAAUUGCCCUGAUGUGGGGGAUAACCAUUGGAAACGAUGGCUAAUACCGCAUAAUGCCUACGGGCCAAAGAGGGGGACCUUCGGGCCUCUCGCGUCAGGAUAUGCCUAGGUGGGAUUAGCUAGUUGGUGAGGUAAUGGCUCACCAAGGCGACGAUCCCUAGCUGGUCUGAGAGGAUGAUCAGCCACACUGGAACUGAGACACGGUCCAGACUCCUACGGGAGGCAGCAGUGGGGAAUAUUGCACAAUGGGCGCAAGCCUGAUGCAGCCAUGCCGCGUGUGUGAAGAAGGCCUUCGGGUUGUAAAGCACUUUCAGUCGUGAGGAAGGUGGUAGUGUUAAUAGCACUAUCAUUUGACGUUAGCGACAGAAGAAGCACCGGCUAACUCCGUGCCAGCAGCCGCGGUAAUACGGAGGGUGCGAGCGUUAAUCGGAAUUACUGGGCGUAAAGCGCAUGCAGGUGGUUUGUUAAGUCAGAUGUGAAAGCCCGGGGCUCAACCUCGGAAUAGCAUUUGAAACUGGCAGACUAGAGUACUGUAGAGGGGGGUAGAAUUUCAGGUGUAGCGGUGAAAUGC